GGGCUGGUAGGAUAGCACGGAAAAUCCGCCCCCUUCGUAAGGGGACUUUCGUGGGUUCGAAUCCCAUCCAGCCCA
RNAcentral lists this transfer RNA (75 nucleotides) under Nitrososphaerota archaeon. RNAcentral's name for it is "Thaumarchaeota archaeon tRNA-Thr". It matches the Rfam family "tRNA". Rfam says of the family: Transfer RNA (tRNA) molecules are approximately 80 nucleotides in length. Their secondary structure includes four short double-helical elements and three loops (D, anti-codon, and T loops). Lineage: Archaea; Thermoproteati; Nitrososphaerota. The record is from RNAcentral.